Triticum aestivum (bread wheat) is the source of this 136-nucleotide non-coding RNA. Lineage: Eukaryota; Viridiplantae; Streptophyta; Magnoliopsida; Poales; Poaceae. The record is from Rfam.
AUACUACUCCCUCCGUUCCAAAAUACUUGACUUCCAUUUGUCUAAAAUUGGAUGUACCUAUAUACUAAAACAUGUCUAGAUAUAUCUAUGUUUUGACAAAUGGAAGUCAUGUAUUGUGGAACGGAGGGAGUAUUUC